CUCACAGCACCAGCAUGAAGCCUGUGUGAAGAUCCUACUGCAGUGUGGUGCUAAUUCCAAGGCCGCCGAUGCCAAGAAGAACACGGCCCUUCACUACGCCAUCUACAAUGAUGACCUGCAAUGGUGACCACUUUGCUGGAAUACCAUGCAGACCCUGAAGUCAAAGCGAAGGACGGCUUCACGCCACUCAUAGCUGCUGUGGUGAAGGACAAUGUGCAGGUAGCGGCGAUCCUGCUCACAAAGGCGAACGUGAAUGCCAGCGACUAGUGGAACAGGACCGCGCUGCACUAUGCAUGUACUUACGGCCACCCAGAAGUGGCACAGCUCCUUCUAAAGAGAAAGUGUGAGAUCAAUGCAUGUGAUAGUGACAGAUGCACACCUCUGAUUAAGGCCUCCCAGUACCAGCAUGAAGCGUGUGUGAAGAUCCUACUUCAGUAUGAUGCUAAUCCCAAUGCCGCCGAUGCCAAGAAGAACACGGCUCUUCACUACGCCGUCU
Molecule: long non-coding RNA, 496 nt
Organism: Jaculus jaculus (lesser Egyptian jerboa)
Lineage: Eukaryota; Metazoa; Chordata; Mammalia; Rodentia; Dipodidae
Exons: 4
Source: RefSeq, a predicted model, not a curated record